Long non-coding RNA from Scylla paramamosain (green mud crab), 1994 nucleotides. RefSeq lists it as uncharacterized. The transcript has 6 exons. The record is from RefSeq and is a predicted model, not a curated record. Lineage: Eukaryota; Metazoa; Arthropoda; Malacostraca; Decapoda; Portunidae.
UUAAACAAAACAAAUGGAAAGUGAGAGAAAAGCAAGAAAAUACAGAUGAAAAGAAAAUCUGCGGUAAAAAUGCACCGCUGAAACAAAAACGAAUAAGAAAGUGUAAUGAAACGAUGAGAUAAUUUUGUGUUUUUGUGAGCCCGCAAUUAUGCUGCACCCACCCUCUACCACUACUACCACUACUACUACUACUCCUACCACUGCAAUUUAUGAGCAGUAGGUGACAGAAACGAAGAAGCGCAAACACCUGGAGAUAGGUGAGCUUGAUAGGAAGUUACAAGUAGAAUAUGAAGCAAAACUCAAAGACUCACUGAGAGAACUUGAGAGGACUGUGAAGAACAACUCAAGAACAUUACGCCCUAAGUGGACGACCUGUACGAGGCCAAGGUGACCCAUGAACUACCUCUAACAAUGGUGAUGAAGAACCAGAAGUGGGUUGUAGGUGACGAGAUAACUAUCCCAGGUCAUCCCGGAAGUGGCGAGGUGACCCCAUACAGCUCCACAAGGUCGUGGAGGACACCAGACAUAGCCACGUGGUCGCCUACACUCAGCCAUCCACCUCACCUGCCCCAGACUGCUACCCGGACACCAUCCAGCCACAAGAACCCAGAUAAGCACUUCCGGGGUCCUUGGUUGUGGUUAGCUAGCUAGUUUGUUUAGGGGUCACUUGCUGUACAUAGGAACCCUCCUCGGUCUGAUGCUAUUUUUUUUAUUUUUAUUUUUGAGGUGUAACGCUGUCCUCUACGUGAGAGUGAUAGUGUUUAUCUUUAUUUAUUUAUUUUUUUUUUCCUGAAGACCAGUUCUGAUGUUAUCUUGGAGGUUAACGGAGAAGAGUUCUUCACACCUGUGUUUGUUGUUUUAUUUUAUUUUUUUAUUGGUCACUUUUUUUUUUUUUUUGUGAUUGUUAUUAAUUUUAUUUAUUUGUAUUGAAAUAUGUGAGUGUGAAUGCAGCACAAUAUAUAAAGGUGUGCAUUCCAGAGUGAAAGGAAGGCGUGCACAGGGUAGAGUGCACAGGAUGCAGUGCCUUGUUUUUAUCACCAGACCUUGAUUGACUGAAGCAAAUGAAAACUUUGGUAUAAAUUGUUAUCUUUCCAAGGGUUGAGGAGAACAUGGUCGUGGUUCAAGUGAAGCCACUACAGCCACUCCCUGACAAGCCUUCCACACCGACAGACAGUGGCAGCAGACACACAAGAGACGAUGGUGUGGUGGACAAGAAGAUGCAGGGAGACAGCAGACAGAAUGGAAGCUACAGAUGAAAGAAGAGCAGGUCAAGCCAUGGCAGCAGACACAUAGACAGACAGAUUGGAUAAGAAAGAAGUAUUAUUUAGUGAGACAGGACCACUGGAAGCUGUCAGAGUGCUGUGGCACGUGGCAAGAACCAAGUGUUCAGGAGCACACACUGUCCCUUCACCAGUCAGCAGGUCUGGGCGGCUUGGAAGCCUCACUACAAACUGAAGACCCGUUCACUUGAAGGACACAGUUGGAGUCGGACACAAGAUCCAAGAGGGAGUUAUUUUUAAACGAGAGCUUCAGGCAGAAAAUUCGAGUGGAUUUUCAACUCUAAAAAUAACUUUUUUGGGGGGAUAUUUUGAACCUUCUUUAUCUUGAAAAAUAACUCCAGAUAUUAUGACUCUAGCUGGAAGUUGACCUGAGCAAUGUAGGGUUUGCUGCAGUGAGAUUACCAAGGCACGAGUGUCUGGGAUUUAAAAAUGAUGGAUAUGUGUCCUGUGUGCUGCUGUGCUGGGAGGAGAGGAGCAGCAGCAGUCGUGGGGCUCUGUUGCUGCUGUCAUUGGUGCAGCCGUUCACUCCUGCAGCUACCUUCCCUCAACAUACUGUGUCUUCCCUCACCUGCAAUGAACAACUAUGAACAAUACUUCUCCUGCGAUGAGGAACAGUGAAUAACACCUCUCUCUCUCUCUCUCUCUCUCUCUCUCUCUCUCUCUCUCUCUCUCUCUCUCUCUCUCUCUCUCUCUCUCUCUCUCUCUCUCUCUCUC